This 894-nucleotide ribosomal RNA is filed under the name Parmacochlea balios. Its description in RNAcentral is "partial 16S ribosomal RNA". The stretch from base 439 to 632 matches the Rfam family "Archaeal large subunit ribosomal RNA", at positions 1801 to 2102 of the family's 2987-position model. The record is from RNAcentral. Lineage: Eukaryota; Metazoa; Mollusca; Gastropoda; Stylommatophora; Helicarionidae.
AUAUUAUAAAUUAAGUACUGUAAAGAAAAAUAAAUUAAAUAUUUAUUUAUACCUUUUGCAUAAUGGUUUAAUAAUAGUAUUAAAGAAUUUUUUUUUCCCGAAAUUAGAAGAUUUAACUUUGUUAAAAUUUUAGAUAUUAUAUAAUAUAAUGUUUCAAAAUUAUAAAUAUAAACAAAGUUAGGGGUGAAAGGCUUAUCAAUUCUAUAGAUAUCUGGAAUAGUUUUAAAUGUAUUUAGUACAAAAUAAUGGUUUGAUUAAAAAAAUCUUAAGAUUUUUUUAAUUUUAGAAUAAUACUUAAUAUAAUUUUGUGAAUUAACCUUCUUGUAAUUAAAUUUAUUAAUAAUUUUAAAGUAAAAAUAAUCUAAAUUAUAAAAUUAUUAAAAUAUAAAUUUUUCAAUAUAUAAAUUAUGUUAAAAUUAGUAUAAUAUUAUUUGUUUUUUAAAGGAACUCGGCAAAUUUAUUAUUCAUCUGUUUAUCAAAAACAUAGCUUUGUGUAAAAUAUACAAAGUAAAACCUGCCCAGUGAUAACGAUUAAACGGCCGCAGUACCUUGACUGUGCUAAGGUAGCAUAAUAAAUUGACUUUUAAUUGAAGCCUUGAAUGAAAGGGUAAAUGGAUAAUUUCUGUCUUUAAUAAAUUACUUAUAAUUUACUUAAAAGGUGAAAAUUCCUUUAAUUAAAUAUAAUAGACGAGAAGACCCUAGGAGUUUUAAGUUUUGUUGGGGCGACAGUAUAGCAUUAUUAACCUAUAUAACAAUGAUAAAAAUUAAACGAGUAAUUUUAAUAGUAAAUAAACUACCCUAGGGAUAACAGCAUAAUUUUUAAAAUAAGUUUGUGACCUCGAUGUUGGACUAGGAACUUUUAAGGCUAACAGCGUUAAUGGUAGUUCUGUUCGA